This 896-nucleotide ribosomal RNA is filed under the name Cytospora desmazieri. RNAcentral's name for it is "LSU rRNA". It matches the Rfam family "Eukaryotic large subunit ribosomal RNA", at positions 38 to 964 of the family's 3401-position model. The record is from RNAcentral. Lineage: Eukaryota; Fungi; Ascomycota; Sordariomycetes; Diaporthales; Cytosporaceae.
GCAUAUCAAUAAGCGGAGGAAAAGAAACCAACAGGGAUUGCCCUAGUAACGGCGAGUGAAGCGGCAACAGCUCAAAUUUGAAAGCUGGCUCCGGCCCGCAUUGUAAUUUGCAGAGGAUGCUUCUGGCAAGGUGCCUUCCGAGUUCCCUGGAACGGGACGCCACAGAGGGUGAGAGCCCCGUAUGGAUGGACACCAAGCCUGUGUGAAGCUCCUUCAACGAGUCGAGUAGUUUGGGAAUGCUGCUCAAAAUGGGAGGUAAAUCUCUUCUAAAGCUAAAUACCGGCCAGAGACCGAUAGCGCACAAGUAGAGUGAUCGAAAGAUGAAAAGCACCUUGAAAAGGGGGUUAAACAGUACGUGAAAUUGUUGAAAGGGAAGCGCUUGUGACCAGACUUGUGCCGGGCGGCUCAUCAGGGGUUCUCCCCUGUGCACUCCGCCCGGCUCAGGCCAGCAUCGGUUCUCGUGGGAGGAUAAGAACGGUGGGAACGUGGCCCCCUCUCGGGGGGGUGUUAUAGCCCACCGUACGAUACUCUCGUGGGGACCGAGGUUCGCGCUCCGCAAGGAUGCUGGCGUAAUGGUCAUCAGCGACCCGUCUUGAAACACGGACCAAGGAGUCGUCCAUUAGAGCGAGCGUUUGGGUGUAAAACCCGCACGCGUAAUGAAAGUGAACGCAGGUGAGAGCUUCGGCGCAUCAUCGACCGAUCCUGAUGUCUUCGGAUGGAUUUGAGUAAGAGUUUUAACGGACGGACCCGAAAGACAGUGAACUAUGCUUGUAUAGGGUGAAGCCAGAGGAAACUCUGGUGGAGGCUCGCAGCGGUUCUGACGUGCAAAUCGAUCGUCAAAUAUGAGCAUGGGGGCGAAAGACUAAUCGAACUGUCUAGUAGCUGGUUACCGMCGA